Molecule: ribosomal RNA, 876 nt
Filed under: Geoscypha violacea
Lineage: Eukaryota; Fungi; Ascomycota; Pezizomycetes; Pezizales; Pezizaceae
Description: partial large subunit ribosomal RNA
Rfam family: Eukaryotic large subunit ribosomal RNA
Source: RNAcentral
CUAAGCAUAUCAAUAAGCGGAGGAAAAGAAACCAACAGGGAUUGCCUUAGUAACGGCGAGUGAAGCGGCAAAAGCUCAGAUUUGAAAUCUGGCGUCAUUUUGGCGUCCGAGUUGUAAUCUGUAGAGGAGUAUUCGAGUGUGGAUUUGGCUUAAGUUCCUUGGAACAGGACGUCAUAGAGGGUGAGAACCCCGUUAACGGCCUACGUCUUAUGCUCAUGUGAAUCUCCUUCAACGAGUCGAGUUGUUUGGGAAUGCAGCUCUAAAUGGGUGGUAAAUUCCAUCUAAAGCUAAAUACUGGCAAGAGACCGAUAGCGCACAAGUAGAGUGAUCGAAAGAUGAAAAGAACUCUGAACAGAGAGUUAAAUAGUACGUGAAAUUGUUGAAAGGGAAGCACUUGCUACCAGACACGCCUGUAGUUGAUCAACCUCCAUUCUUGGUGGUGCACUCGGCUAUAGGUGGGUCAGCAUCAGUUACAACGGUGGGAUAAAGACUUUGGGAAUGUAGCUUCCUUCGGGAAGUGUUAUAGCCCUUGGUGUAAUACCAUCUGAUGUGACUGAGGCCCGCGCUUCGGCGAGGAUGCUGGCAUAAUGGUCGUAAGUGACCCGUCUUGAAACACGGACCAAGGAGUCUAACAUCUAUGCGAGUGUUUGGGCGUCAAAACCCUUACGCGGAAUGAAAGUGAAUGAAGGUGGGAACCGCAAGGUGCACCAUCGACCGAUCCUGAUGUUUUCGGAUGGAUUUGAGUAGGAGCAUAGCUGUUGGGACCCGAAAGAUGGUGAACUAUGCCUGAAUAGGGUGAAGCCAGAGGAAACUCUGGUGGAGGCUCGCAGCGGUUCUGACGUGCAAAUCGAUCGUCAAAUUUGGGUAUAGGGGCGA